Xenopus laevis (African clawed frog) is the source of this 1908-nucleotide RNA transcript. It is a transcript of the gene named protein FAM135A-like, with no coding region annotated. Lineage: Eukaryota; Metazoa; Chordata; Amphibia; Anura; Pipidae. The record is from RefSeq and is a predicted model, not a curated record. The transcript has 10 exons.
CGCAUGCGCGCUGGCGCGUACUUUCACGCAUGCGCGGUUGAGCACACACUAAGCCGGCGCCGUGGCCGGCCAGGUUGCCCGUCUCUGCUAACAGCAUUCCUCCCUCCUCCUGAACUCCAGCACUUUGCACUUAUGUCUGUAACUGGCAAAAGAAAGCAGAGUAGUGCUGUGGGGUAAUAGGGCUCCAUAUUGUACUGCUUUGUGUCCUCUGCUUUCUUUCUUUCUUCAUGCCUCUGUUUCUCUAUUUUAGGGUAAAAGCUUCGUGAUCGAAGAGAAAUACUUGCAGCAUGCCUACCGUUUCCUCUCAACGCUACGAUCCUGCUUGCUGCUUUCCUAUGAUGGACUGUACAGUUAUUUCACCUCCAUAUCAGAAACGCUGCCUUCCUCACUCAAGCUGGAGCUUGAAAAACUUGAUAUGAAAGCCCGGCUCAGUGAGUUAUCUGACAAAGUGACGGAAAUAGAAGACGCCAAUGAUCUGCCAGAAGCAAUAAAUGGCAGCCUAAUAGAACUGUCAUCUCAACUUCUCAAUCUAUGGGGAAUAUUUCUUCAAUCCUCCUUGGAGAGUAAAGCAGAAAAGCAGCAAAUAAAGGAAGAAAAGUUCAAGAAGUUGUUCUUUUCUACUGACCAUCCCCGAGAAGAAGCUAUUUUAUAUGAUGAGAAGAUCGCUCAAAGGCAUAAAGAGAUUUAUGAAGAAGUAAAAAAAUCUCCAAAAGUCAGUUGUUCUCUCGAGUGCCUGGACACGGACAUUGUAUCGAAAUCUGCUCCAGUGAUCUUUGAAGACCGGUACUUAGAGCCUGACGCAAUUGAUUGUUCAGAAGAUGUUAAAUCUUCCCCUGUUGCCUGUACUAAAGAUCCGCGCAAGAAACUGAAGUCAUUGCGUACUAUCAUGGCAACAGAUGGAAAUCUUGAUUUAAGUGCCUCCUUUCAUGACAUGCCAUAUACUCUGAGGAAGGGAUUGUUUGAGGCUAAAAAAGAACUGAGAGAAUGGAUAAGUCGGUUCUUUUCCAACAACCGUUCCAAGAAGUUUACUCUGAGCAUGGAGCUAGUCAACGACUCAAAUGAAGGAAUAUCUGUGCAAAUCAGGAUGAGACCUUCUUAUUGUAAUUACCUUUUUACUAUAUCUUCUCCUGUGGGAAAUAUAAAUAUAACAUACAUUUUACCUUAACUUGAACAAUAACCAUGGACUUAUUUCUACCCUAGGUACAACAGAUGAGCAAGUAAUAACUACCUUUGUAUAUGGAUGUCACGGUGGAAGAACUGCUGUCAUCGGACAUCUAGGAAACAAGGAUGAAACUCUGGCUGAAUAUGAUUCUUUGGCAAAUCGUCUAUUGAGCCAAAUUGCACAACUCAUAGAAUCGAACAGUUUGACAAUAUCCGGGAUCAGAUUAUUAUCCAACGAAAAGAAACUCCUUUGGGAGCAACUUGUACCUAAGCGAAAAGUCCGAGAAAAUCAGAGCAGUUCUACUGGUAAGAUAAACAUUGAUUUUUCCAUUACAUUAUGAAGGAAAGAUGGGCAUUACUUUGAUUACAUUGACUUAUUCUAUUUUAUUUUUAUUGUAGGUUCCAAAGACAACGCCAGUAGUAAAGAUGACGGAACACAUCUAGUAGUCUGUGUACAUGGCAGAGCUGGUAAGUAAAAACUAUUUUAAGAUUGGAUUCUGACACCAACACUUGCGGGUGUUUUGUCCUAUGCUAUACCAUUGCCUUGCCCUGUUAAAAAACAGCUUUAUUUCUUCUCUAGGUUCCGAAUAUGAUCUUGUAUUAGUAAGACCUUACAUCGAGUGUGGCGUGACACAUGGAAAGACCGACUUCCUAAUGUCUAUGUACAACAAGGGCUCCACCUCUGAAGAUAUUGAUUAUUUGGCCAGCGGUCUCCUAAUUGAAAUAUUAGAGCACAUAGGAAGCAAA